AUGCCCGGAGAUCUUAGCCAGUGGAUAAUGAAGCAUUAUGACCCUGAGAUUUCGCAGAUAGUCAUUCCAGAAAGGGGGAAGAUUCCUGUUGAUGCCGCAAGUGUUCGUAGGAUAAGGGGUUUGCCAAAUAGGGGCAGGAAAGUGUGCUUCGACAAUCGGCCUGAAAUCACAAAGGCAAUGUACAGUAUUUACAACAUCACAUCCAAGAACUCCCCAACUCUCACAGAAUGGUGCAAGAUGAUCAUAGACAUGGGAGGAUCCUCUGAUGAUGACUUUCUCCGUGCUUGGCUAGCUCUUUUUUUUUGUGCUUCCUUGCCCCUUCAACUAGUUUAA
This 333-nucleotide ribosomal RNA is filed under the name Triticum aestivum (bread wheat). RNAcentral describes it as "partial small subunit ribosomal RNA". The record is from RNAcentral. Lineage: Eukaryota; Viridiplantae; Streptophyta; Magnoliopsida; Poales; Poaceae.